Long non-coding RNA from Hyla sarda, 464 nucleotides. RefSeq lists it as uncharacterized. NCBI's taxonomy places the organism in Eukaryota, Metazoa, Chordata, Amphibia, Anura, Hylidae. The record is from RefSeq and is a predicted model, not a curated record. The transcript has 4 exons.
GUUUUGCUAAAACUUUCCCAUUGUGUUAGAAGCAGGAAAAAUGAGUUGAAGGGACACUAUCGCACGAAUCGGCCAACUGGCAAAUCGAGAAAUAAGGCUACAUCAGGACUUGCCACUUUGAACAGCUACAAUCUAGUUCCAGCCCGUGAUUAUCGAUGAAUAGUAAGCGCCAGCUACAGUACUGCUGCAUGCAAUAAUGCUCUAUGGGCUGAUAAAAUUUUUACUGGCUUUUAGAUCACAUGGAUUACACAGGAUUAUCUACCUACCAUAAUCUCUCUAUUAUUGGAUACAUUUUAGCAGGUGUUUCUUGAUCCACCCAGAUACUUUUGCAAAAGGAUUUUUAGCCUUACUUUUUCUGUUUUUUUUUUUUGUCUUGCCCUGUUGCUUACAGGUCUCUGAGAAUCUUCUGUCUGACCAUCAACUCAUUGACGAAAAACUUAAUGCACCCAGAUAAAAAUGUUGGA